Corticium candelabrum is the source of this 805-nucleotide long non-coding RNA. RefSeq lists it as uncharacterized. The transcript is spliced from 2 exons. The record is from RefSeq and is a predicted model, not a curated record. NCBI's taxonomy places the organism in Eukaryota, Metazoa, Porifera, Homoscleromorpha, Homosclerophorida, Plakinidae.
GUGUGCAAUUUACAUGUUUACAAAUGAGAUUAAUGACCUUCCUCAUAAUGUGGCAGAAAAUAUGUGAGAAGUAAUUUGUAUUCAUUUUUAAUUAUUGCUUUUGUUGUACGAAAUCGAUGUGGACAUGGGAAAACUCGAGGUUGAAGUUCAUUCUCAUAACAGUUUGUGUCAAUAUUGCUAUUGUAUUGACAUGCUUCUUACACACAAGUCUACGACUGGAAGCAGGUGAUGCACUCACACCGUAGUGGUUUCUGCACGUGAAGAAUGAAUGUGUCGUCGGGACAGUGGACAUAAUUCCUCACAGAUAUUGUGCGAUGUUUUGGAGGGAAGCAACAUUGGCAAUCUGAUUUCAAGUAUACGUUGAUUGUGCCAUCUUUCGUCGAUCUAUAGGCUUGUGACUUGCUGUGGCAUCGACCCAAGCAUUCGCUUAGAGGGACUUGAACCGAACAGUUAUCGUGGUGGAACACCUGGAAUGUAGAUGAAAGAUUGCACGAUGUUCUUGAGGAAGACUUCUGAUGUUAAGUAUCGACAUUUGACAAAUUAGCAAAAGCUGGAUAUUCAUUGGCUAUGAUUCCCACGCAGAGAACUGAGAGAAGAACAGCUGAAAUCAUUCUCGUUUGUCACUGACAUCUCAGUGUAUGCUCCUUGAGAGCGGUCAUGUGCUGGUGGAUUCGAUCAACACUGGCAACAGUCGGAGGAACUUGCGCUUAUGAGUAUUGUCCGCGGUAUCUUGUUCCUAUCAGGAACUGAUAAACAUGAGAGUAUGUACAGAUUGAAUAUCACGCCAUACGUUUAAUCCCUGAAA